AGAGUUUGAUCCUGGCUCAGGAUGAACGCUGGCGGCGUGCUUAACACAUGCAAGUCGAACGGACUUGAUUGGAGCUUGCUCCGAUCAAGUUAGUGGCGGACGGGUGAGUAACGCGUGGGUAACCUGCCUCACACUGGGGGACAACAGUUGGAAACGACUGCUAAUACCGCAUAAGCAUACAGUGUCGCAUGACACAGUGUGAAAAACUCCGGUGGUGUGAGAUGGACCCGCGUCUGAUUAGCUAGUUGGUGAGGUAACGGCCCACCAAGGCAACGAUCAGUAGCCGGCCUGAGAGGGUGAACGGCCACAUUGGGACUGAGACACGGCCCAAACUCCUACGGGAGGCAGCAGUGGGGAAUAUUGCACAAUGGGGGAAACCCUGAUGCAGCGACGCCGCGUGAGUGAAGAAGUAUUUCGGUAUGUAAAGCUCUAUCAGCAGGGAAGAAAAUGACGGUACCUGACUAAGAAGCCCCGGCUAACUACGUGCCAGCAGCCGCGGUAAUACGUAGGGGGCAAGCGUUAUCCGGAUUUACUGGGUGUAAAGGGAGCGUAGACGGCAUUGCAAGUCUGAUGUGAAAGCCCGGGGCUUAACCCCGGGACUGCAUUGGAAACUGUAGAGCUGGAGUGCAGGAGAGGUAAGCGGAAUUCCUAGUGUAGCGGUGAAAUGCGUAGAUAUUAGGAGGAACACCAGAGGCGAAGGCGGCUUACUGGACUGUAACUGACGUUGAGGCUCGAAAGCGUGGGGAGCAAACAGGAUUAGAUACCCUGGUAGUCCACGCGGUAAACGAUGAUUACUAGAUGUUGGGGGACCAAGGUCCU
This 819-nucleotide ribosomal RNA is filed under the name uncultured bacterium. Its description in RNAcentral is "bacterial SSU rRNA". It matches the Rfam family "Bacterial small subunit ribosomal RNA", at positions 8 to 839 of the family's 1533-position model. The record is from RNAcentral.